AACAUAUAGAUAUCUUGGGCCACUGAGGUUUUAUUCACUGUUUUAUGACAUCGUAUCACUUUGAGUCUGCAAGGGCUGAGUGUGAAGAGUAGGAAACGGGAACAUGGAUCUUUCAGAACCGCUGUGUCCAGCCUGGCAAACGAUGUCUUUCUAGAGAACACCUGCAGCAGUGCCAUUUGUGGAGAGGCCUUCACUCCCCCUCCCCCAAACCGUCCUUAAGUGGUCACCUGGAGUAACUUGUAAGCAUAACAAACCUGCUAUCAAACUUGGCUUUCAGUGCUAGCAAAGACUGAUGAAUAAGUACAAGUGAGAUGUUGGAGCUCAGGCAGUAAUUUCAUUGAAGCCAAAGGACCAUCGGUGUGGCCUCCAAGAAAAAAAACUUGAUGCCUGGCAACUGGGGUAUAAAACAUGGCCCUUCUGGGUAUCAGAUGUCUCAUGUAGCUGGGGAUAUCUUGAUCUCACUGCCUCCAUCUCCCAAGUGUGUGCUCACAAGGGGCACCAUGCCCAGCUUCCUUGUGGUUUCUUGAACAAGAAACACAGAAGGUGAUUCUUCUCUUCUGCCACUAAUCUGUUGGAUAGUAAAUUUUGCUCUUGCCUUAAAGGAUAAUGGGCACAUGUAUAUAGCCUAUGAUAAUUUCAUAUAAUGUAGAUUUAUUAAAAAUCAAUAUAGGGCUGGAGAGGUGGCUCAGAGGUUAAGAGCACUGUCUGCUCUUCCAGAGGUCCUGAGUUCAAUUCCCAGCAACCAUAUGGUGGCUCACAACCAUAGGUUAUGAGAUCUGAUGCCCUCUUCUAGUGUGCAUGAAGACAGAGCACUC
This 815-nucleotide long non-coding RNA is filed under the name Cricetulus griseus (Chinese hamster). RNAcentral's name for it is "lncRNA (ENSCGRG00015042122.1)". The record is from RNAcentral. Lineage: Eukaryota; Metazoa; Chordata; Mammalia; Rodentia; Cricetidae.